CCCUUCGAUGUUCGGAGCUGCACGCGCGCUACACUGGUCGAUGCAACGAGUUUCUUUCCUUGGCCGACAGGCCUGGGCAAUCUUUGAACAUCGAUCGUGAUCGGGAUAGAUUCUUGUAAUUUUUGAUCUUAAACGAGGAAUUCCUAGUAAACGCAAGUCAUCAGCUUGCAUUGAUUACGUCCCUGCCCUUUGUACACACCGCCCGUCGCACCUACCGAUUGAAUGGUCCGGUGAAAUCUCCGGACUGGCGUGAGUCGGAGCAAUCUGACAAACGCCGGAAAGUUGAUUAAACCUUACCAUUUAGAGGAAGGUGAAGUCGUAACA
Molecule: ribosomal RNA, 324 nt
Filed under: uncultured eukaryote
Lineage: Eukaryota
Description: partial 18S ribosomal RNA
Rfam family: Eukaryotic small subunit ribosomal RNA
Source: RNAcentral